GGAGAGCUGUCCGAGUUUGGCCGAAGGAGCACGAUUGGAAAUCGUGUAGGCGGUGUAGAACCGUCUCGAGGGUUCGAAUCCCUCGCUCUCCGCCA
This 95-nucleotide transfer RNA is filed under the name Alkalicoccobacillus gibsonii. RNAcentral's name for it is "tRNA-Ser". It matches the Rfam family "tRNA". Rfam says of the family: Transfer RNA (tRNA) molecules are approximately 80 nucleotides in length. Their secondary structure includes four short double-helical elements and three loops (D, anti-codon, and T loops). Further hydrogen bonds mediate the characteristic L-shaped molecular structure. tRNAs have two regions of fundamental functional importance: the anti-codon, which is responsible for specific mRNA codon recognition, and the 3' end, to which the tRNAs corresponding amino acid is attached (by aminoacyl-tRNA synthetases). tRNAs cope with the degeneracy of the genetic code in two manners: having more than one tRNA (with a specific anti-codon) for a particular amino acid; and 'wobble' base-pairing, i.e. permitting non-standard base-pairing at the 3rd anti-codon position. Lineage: Bacteria; Bacillati; Bacillota; Bacilli; Caryophanales; Bacillaceae. The record is from RNAcentral. RNAcentral also lists the same sequence under 7 other names.